UGGGGAAUUUUGGACAAUGGGGGAAACCCUGAUCCAGCCAUCCCGCGUGUGCGAUGAAGGCCUUCGGGUUGUAAAGCACUUUUGGCAGGAAAGAAACGUCAUGGGUUAAUACCCCGUGAAACUGACGGUACCUGCAGAAUAAGCACCGGCUAACUACGUGCCAGCAGCCGCGGUAAUACGUAGGGUGCAAGCGUUAAUCGGAAUUACUGGGCGUAAAGCGUGCGCAGGCGGUUCGGAAAGAAAGAUGUGAAAUCCCAGAGCUCAACUUUGGAAAUGCAUUUUUAACUACCGGGCUAGAGUGUGUCAGAGGGAGGUGGAAUUCCGCGUGUAGCAGUGAAAUGCGUAGAUAUGCGGAGGAACACCGAUGGCGAAGGCAGCCUCCUGGGAUAACACGGACGCUCAUGCACGAAAGCGUGGGGAGCAAACAGG
RNAcentral lists this ribosomal RNA (429 nucleotides) under Acidobacteriota bacterium. RNAcentral describes it as "Acidobacteria bacterium partial 16S ribosomal RNA". It matches the Rfam family "Bacterial small subunit ribosomal RNA", at positions 355 to 776 of the family's 1533-position model. Lineage: Bacteria; Pseudomonadati; Acidobacteriota. The record is from RNAcentral.